This 83-nucleotide transfer RNA is filed under the name Chloroflexota bacterium. Its description in RNAcentral is "Chloroflexi bacterium (sediment metagenome) tRNA-Tyr". It matches the Rfam family "tRNA". From Rfam's summary of the family: Transfer RNA (tRNA) molecules are approximately 80 nucleotides in length. Their secondary structure includes four short double-helical elements and three loops (D, anti-codon, and T loops). The record is from RNAcentral. Lineage: Bacteria; Bacillati; Chloroflexota.
GGGCGGGUACCCAAGUGGCCAACGGGGCCUGGCUGUAAACCAGGUGGCGCAAGCCUUCGGGGGUUCGAAUCCCUCCCCGCCCA